GUGCUUGCUUUGGCAGCACAUAUGCUACAAUUGGAAUGAUACAGAAAAGAUUAGCAUGGCCCCUUGAGCCAGGAUGACAUGCCAAUUUAUGAAGCAUUCUAUAUUUUA
This is a small nuclear RNA of Ochotona princeps (American pika), 108 nucleotides long. Lineage: Eukaryota; Metazoa; Chordata; Mammalia; Lagomorpha; Ochotonidae. The record is from Ensembl.